AUUGAACGCUGGCGGCAUGCCUUACACAUGCAAGUCGAACGGUAACAGGUCUUCGGAUGCUGACGAGUGGCGAACGGGUGAGUAAUACAUCGGAACGUGCCCGAUCGUGGGGGAUAACGCAGCGAAAGCUGUGCUAAUACCGCAUACGAUCUACGGAUGAAAGCGGGGGAUCGCAAGACCUCGCGCGGACGGAGCGGCCGAUGGCAGAUUAGGUAGUUGGUGGGAUAAAAGCUUACCAAGCCGACGAUCUGUAGCUGGUCUGAGAGGACGACCAGCCACACUGGGACUGAGACACGGCCCAGACUCCUACGGGAGGCAGCAGUGGGGAAUUUUGGGCAAUGGGGGCAACCCUGACCCAGCGACGCCGCGUGAGGGAAGACGGCCUCGGUUGUAACCUACUUUGUUACGGAAGAAGGACGUGACGGUACCGUGCGAAUAAGUCCGGCUAACUACGUG
This 456-nucleotide ribosomal RNA is filed under the name uncultured bacterium. Its description in RNAcentral is "bacterial SSU rRNA". It matches the Rfam family "Bacterial small subunit ribosomal RNA", at positions 29 to 507 of the family's 1533-position model. The record is from RNAcentral.